CGAUUGUGAGGUAUCUCCUUUUAUUAUGCAUUACAGAAUUAGUAAUAAGGGUUGGUUUAUCGGGUGAAGGCCGUAUCAGGGUGGCCAUAUUACAAGUCUUGAGCUAUCGGAUGCUAUUAAGGAAGUAAAAGCUGUAAAAUCUCGGUUUCUGGUUAAAGCAUGGAGUUGUGUGUCAAGAAUUGCAAUGUCAGUGGGUUUCCAAAUUUGAUUAUGUUUGUGCUCUUCACUUUCUUCUUCACUUCUUGCCUAAGAUGUCUUCCUGAGUAAGCAAUAAGGAAGUUCAGGAACUAUUUUGUCAUAGCAAAAACUGAAAAGGUCCACACAUUUCUGAAACCUGAGAAAGACAGCCUGUCUUACUCAUAGGAAUCUGUGUCUGUGUUCUGCUGUGUUCUGAAGAAACUGCUCCUUCUCACCUCUCCAAUGAAACUUAUUUUAUUUAGCCUACACCAACUCUACAAUUGGCAGACCAGUUAAUUGUCUUCA
This 483-nucleotide long non-coding RNA is filed under the name Daphnia pulicaria. RNAcentral's name for it is "uncharacterized LOC124350887, transcript variant X1". The record is from RNAcentral. Lineage: Eukaryota; Metazoa; Arthropoda; Branchiopoda; Diplostraca; Daphniidae.